Molecule: ribosomal RNA, 253 nt
Filed under: uncultured bacterium
Lineage: Bacteria
Description: partial 16S ribosomal RNA
Rfam family: Bacterial small subunit ribosomal RNA
Source: RNAcentral
UACGUAGGGUGCAAGCGUUGUCCGGAAUUAUUGGGCGUAAAGGGCUCGUAGGCGGUCCAUCACGUCGGGAGUGAAAAGCUGGGGCUUAACCCCAGUCCUGCUUCCGAUACGGGUGGACUAGAGGGAGGCAGGGGAGAACGGAAUUCCUGGUGUAGCGGUGAAAUGCGCAGAUAUCAGGAAGAACACCCGUGGCGAAGGCGGCUCUCUAGUACGGUACUGACGCUGAGACGCGAAAGCGUGGGGAGCGAACAGG